UCUUUGGUGUAGUUGGUAGCGCCUUGGAUUAAUAAUUGUAAGUUUCAGGUUCAAGUCCUGGUCGGGGUAAAAA
This is a non-coding RNA of Halocaridina rubra (Hawaiian volcano shrimp), 73 nucleotides long. The record is from the annotation of a GenBank genome assembly. NCBI's taxonomy places the organism in Eukaryota, Metazoa, Arthropoda, Malacostraca, Decapoda, Atyidae.